ACAACGGAUCUCYUGGUUHUGGCAUCGAUGAAGAACGCAGCGAAAUGCGAUAAGUAAUGUGAAUWGCAGAAWUCAGUGAAUCAUCGAAUCUUUGAACGCACAUUGCGCCCGCCAGUAUUCUGGCGGGCAUGCCUGUCCGAGCGUCAUUU
RNAcentral lists this ribosomal RNA (149 nucleotides) under Trichoderma koningii. RNAcentral describes it as "5.8S ribosomal RNA". It matches the Rfam family "5.8S ribosomal RNA". Rfam says of the family: 5.8S ribosomal RNA (5.8S rRNA) is a component of the large subunit of the eukaryotic ribosome. Lineage: Eukaryota; Fungi; Ascomycota; Sordariomycetes; Hypocreales; Hypocreaceae. The record is from RNAcentral.